UAGGCUGGAAGGGAGGAUCCGGG
RNAcentral lists this non-coding RNA (23 nucleotides) under Cricetulus griseus (Chinese hamster). The record is from RNAcentral. Lineage: Eukaryota; Metazoa; Chordata; Mammalia; Rodentia; Cricetidae.